CCCUUCUCACCCGGCUUCCUGCCUUUGCCCUGACGCCGGCGACGGACGAGGAGGACGACGAGGAGGCAGAGCAGCAGGACGAAGGCCCCCGCGGCCCCGAGGAGGACGUACAGGAAUGAGAGCAAAAGAAAGUCAUUCUUAGAGGAAGGAACAUGGAAAGAGUUUGUGGCCAGCAGGUCUGCUCCACAAGAAAUGGUGUAUAGACAUUAUUUCAUUUAUGCCUUUGUACGCAUCUGAAAUGUUCCGUGACAAUCUUUUCAAAAGGAGGUUCAGUGCGGUGGACAGAGUUCAGACUCUGCAAUCAGCAGGACCGAGUUUUAAAUGUCAGCCUGCUGGAUACCCCCUAGAUGUGUGACCUCCUUCAGGCCUUUCCCUCGCCGGCUUAAACAAAUGCAAAGGCCCACGCUUCCCAGGAUUGCCGUCGGGAUUGA
Leopardus geoffroyi (Geoffroy's cat) is the source of this 431-nucleotide long non-coding RNA. RefSeq lists it as uncharacterized. The transcript is spliced from 3 exons. The record is from RefSeq and is a predicted model, not a curated record. NCBI's taxonomy places the organism in Eukaryota, Metazoa, Chordata, Mammalia, Carnivora, Felidae.